GCUCUUGAAUGGGAAUUCCGUCGACCCCACUGAUAGGAGGCAGAGGACUCAAGUAAAUGGCAAGAUUCCCGAAGAUGGGAACGCUGUCCAUGUUAAUACCACGAUGAAUGGGGCUUAAGCACAAACAACAGAACUGCUUAUGUGGAGGAUUGUUUAUUUCUUACAAUGUAGACUAAUGGCUUUCCUUGCGUGUGGUUGGCUCCUUUUCCCAAGACUGGUAAUCUGUUAUAUAUCCUAUCUUAUUG
RNAcentral lists this unclassified non-coding RNA (245 nucleotides) under Hevea brasiliensis (rubber tree). Lineage: Eukaryota; Viridiplantae; Streptophyta; Magnoliopsida; Malpighiales; Euphorbiaceae. The record is from RNAcentral.